Molecule: ribosomal RNA, 467 nt
Filed under: uncultured bacterium
Lineage: Bacteria
Description: partial 16S ribosomal RNA
Rfam family: Bacterial small subunit ribosomal RNA
Source: RNAcentral
GGAUGAACGCUGGCGGCGUGCUUACCCCAUGCAAGUCGAACGAUGAAGCCCAGCUUGCUGGGUGGAUUAGUGGCGAACGGGUGAGUAACACGUGAGUAACCUGCCCUUAACUCUGGGAUAAGCCUGGGAAACUGGGUCUAAUACCGGAUAGGAGCGUCCACCGCAUGGUGGGUGUUGGAAAGAUUUAUCGGUUUUGGAUGGACUCGCGGCCUAUCAGCUUGUUGGUGAGGUAAUGGCUCACCAAGGCGACGACGGGUAGCCGGCCUGAGAGGGUGACCGGCCACACUGGGACUGAGACACGGCCCAGACUCCUACGGGAGGCAGCAGUGGGGAAUAUUGCACAAUGGGCGAAAGCCUGAUGCAGCGACGCCGCGUGAGGGAUGACGGCCUUCGGGUUGUAAACCUCUUUCAGUAGGGAAGAAGCGAAAGUGACGGUACCUGCAGAAGAAGCACCGGCUAACUACGUG